GGGUGUGUGAAUGAUAAUGUUGCAGGAGAGUUGGCCGGAGACUGCUGGGAACAUACACUCUGUAGUGUAUUUGAUCAUUUUUCAGAACAAUAUCGGUCACUGGAAGCUCUGAAAGUUGAUCCGUCUGUUGCUUGGUGUAAAGUGCUGUGAUAGGAGUCUUUGCUGUGACUGAUGACCUGGACAGAGCAUCAGGGGCGACGUUUAAUUUCCCUUUACGGUAUUCAAUGACAAAGUUGAAUUUUUGCAAUCUUAAGACCCAUCGGAUGAGGCGGCUGGUUGGUUUAGUGGAUCCCAUGACCCAUUGCAGAGCGGAAUGGUCUGUGACAACCGUGAAAACCUUGUAUUCCAGGUAAUGUUGCCACUUCUCUAAGGCCCAUAUAACUGCCAGACACUCUUUUUCUGUUGCCGUGUAGUUGAUCUCUGCUCCAGUUAAUGUUCGACUGGCAUAUGCAAUAACCUCCUCCCUACCUAGUUCUUUUCUCUGCCAGAGAAUGGCUCCCAGUCCAGUAUCACUGGCAUCUGUGUAAACAAUGAACGGGACUUGCAGAUCAGGGUGGCCGAGAAUGGGGGGCGAGGGAAUUGAGGGGCUCAGCAAUUUUAGAAAAAUUUGGCACAAACCGAUGGUACCAACCGGCUAAUCCCAAGAACCUCUGAACUUCCUUCAAGGUGUUGGGAGCAGGAAAGGCACGAAUGGCUUUAACUUUACUUGGAUCAGCUGUGAUGCCCUUAUUGCUCACCACGUGUCCUAGAAAGGUGAUUUUUGGAAGGAAAAAAUUGCACUUUUUCAAGUUAAUAGUGAGACCGGCAGUUUCCAGCCUGUGGAGAACAGUUUUCAGGUCAUAGAAGUGUUGAACUACUGACGAAGAAUAAAUGAUAAUGUCGUCAAUAUAGACAAAGCAUAUUUUCUUUCUUAGCUCCCCCAGGACUGUCUCCAUCAGCCUCUGGAAGGGUCCAUCAUCACUUGCCAAUAUCCACAGUUAAGGUCUAGAGUGGAGAAAAUGGAUGCCCCGGAGAGUGAUUCUAGGAUCUCAGUGAUGUUCGGAAGAGGAACUACAGGUGAGGCCCAAGCAGAAUGUGAUGGCUCCACAAUCCCCUCUUUCAACAUUACUUCCAAUUGUUCCUCCAUUGCUUGUUGCUUGACAGGGGAUAACCGAUAUGGCCGUUGUUUGAUAGGAACCUGGCAGGUAGUAUAGAUGUAAUGU
Cyprinus carpio (common carp) is the source of this 1202-nucleotide long non-coding RNA. RefSeq lists it as uncharacterized. The record is from RefSeq and is a predicted model, not a curated record. The transcript is spliced from 5 exons. NCBI's taxonomy places the organism in Eukaryota, Metazoa, Chordata, Actinopteri, Cypriniformes, Cyprinidae.